This 705-nucleotide ribosomal RNA is filed under the name Roseovarius sp. RNAcentral's name for it is "bacterial SSU rRNA". It matches the Rfam family "Bacterial small subunit ribosomal RNA", at positions 35 to 788 of the family's 1533-position model. The record is from RNAcentral. Lineage: Bacteria; Pseudomonadati; Pseudomonadota; Alphaproteobacteria; Rhodobacterales; Roseobacteraceae.
GCGGGGCGGCAGCUACACAUGCAAGUCGAGCGAGAUCUUCGGAUCUAGCGGCGGACGGGUGAGUAACGCGUGGGAACGUACCCUCUUCUGCGGGAUAGCCACUGGAAACGGUGAGUAAUACCGCAUACGCCCUUCGGGGGAAAGAUUUAUCGGAGGAGGAUCGGCCCGCGUUGGAUUAGGUAGUUGGUGGGGUAAUGGCCUACCAAGCCUACGAUCCAUAGCUGGUUUUAGAGGAUGAUCAGCCACACUGGGACUGAGACACGGCCCAGACUCCUACGGGAGGCAGCAGUGGGGAAUCUUAGACAAUGGGCGCAAGCCUGAUCUAGCCAUGCCGCGUGAGUGACGAAGGCCUUAGGGUCGUAAAGCUCUUUCGCCUGUGAUGAUAAUGACAGUAGCAGGUAAAGAAACCCCGGCUAACUCCGUGCCAGCAGCCGCGGUAAUACGGAGGGGGUUAGCGUUGUUCGGAAUUACUGGGCGUAAAGCGCACGUAGGCGGAUUGGAAAGUAUGGGGUGAAAUCCCAGGGCUCAACCCUGGAACGGCCUCAUAAACUUCCAGUCUGGAGUUCGAGAGAGGUGAGUGGAAUUCCGAGUGUAGAGGUGAAAUUCGUAGAUAUUCGGAGGAACACCAGUGGCGAAGGCGGCUCACUGGCUCGAUACUGACGCUGAGGUGCGAAAGUGUGGGGAGCAAACAGGAUUAGAUACCCU